GAUGAACGCUGGCGGCGUGCCUAAUACAUGCAAGUCGAGCGAACAGACGAGGAGCUUGCUCCUCUGACGUUAGCGGCGGACGGGUGAGUAACACGUGGAUAACCUACCUAUAAGACUGGUAUAACUUCGGGAAACCGGAUCUAAUACCGUAUAACAUGUUGAACCGCAUGGUUCAACAGUGAAAGACGGUCUUGCUGUCACUUAUAGAUGGAUCCGCGCCGCAUUAGCUAGUUGGUAAGGUAACGGCUUACCAAGGCAACGAUGCGUAGCCGACCUGAGAGGGUGAUAGGCCACAUUGGAACUGGGACACGGUCAAUACUCCUGCGGGAGGCAGCAGUAGGGAAUGUUCGGCAAUGGGCGAAAGCCUGACGGAGCAACGCCGAGCGAGUGAAGAAGGUCUUCGGAUCGUAAAAAUGUGUUAUUAGGGAUGAACAAAUGUGUAAGUAAAUGUGCACGUCUUGACGGUACCUAAUCAGAAAGCCACGGCUAACUACGUG
RNAcentral lists this ribosomal RNA (497 nucleotides) under uncultured bacterium. RNAcentral describes it as "partial 16S ribosomal RNA". It matches the Rfam family "Bacterial small subunit ribosomal RNA", at positions 28 to 507 of the family's 1533-position model. The record is from RNAcentral.